GUAGAAGGUCGCCAUGUGAUCCCGGGAAGAGAGGAUGCAUGAGGCUGGUGUCCUUGCUUUAUCCUAACUUUAACCAAGAAUGGCUAUAAAGAAAGGUGUGGAUGUGCCUUUACAAAAUGGAAGAAUGAAGGAGCACCAGUCCUCUAGCUUAGAGCAGGAUGGGAUCACCACCCUUGGAUCAAACAGGCCUAGAAAAACUGGGAGGCCUAGUGAUGCCUCAGCAUUCAUGAUGAGACAAUGACACACCCCAUGGGUCACAGGGUUCCCAGCAGGAAACAAACUGACAUGCUCAAACUGGGCAAUUUAAGAAAAGUUUACAAGAAGAUAGCAGGGAAAUGGGAGCAUAUAUUCCUUUGAGGCACAGGAUUGAAUGUCAGUCUUGAGUCAAAAAAGGAGGUUUAAAAGGAGCUCUGUACACAGGAAGUAUGACCUAUAGGGUUGACUAAUAAACAGAAUCUUCUAUGCCUCCUAUCCACUUUCAGUUCUUCCAGUCCAAGAAGCUGUUGGUUGC
Molecule: long non-coding RNA, 511 nt
Filed under: Cricetulus griseus (Chinese hamster)
Lineage: Eukaryota; Metazoa; Chordata; Mammalia; Rodentia; Cricetidae
Description: lncRNA (ENSCGRG00015032050.1)
Source: RNAcentral